This 274-nucleotide ribosomal RNA is filed under the name uncultured bacterium. RNAcentral's name for it is "partial 16S ribosomal RNA". It matches the Rfam family "Bacterial small subunit ribosomal RNA", at positions 523 to 796 of the family's 1533-position model. The record is from RNAcentral.
ACACGUAGGAGGCGAGCGUUAUCCGGAUUCACUGGGCGUAAAGCGCGUGCAGGCGGUUCGGCAAGUUGUGCGUGAAAGCUCCCGGCUCAACCGGGAGAGGUCGUGCAAUACUGCCGGACUAGAGGACGGUAGAGGGAGGUGGAAUUCCCGGUGUAGUGGUGAAAUGCGUAGAUAUCGGGAGGAACACCAGUGGCGAAGGCGGCCUCCUGGACCGUUCCUGACGCUCAGACGCGAAAGCUAGGGGAGCGAACGGAAUUAGAAACCCCAGUAGUCC